AUCUGAGAACGCUGUCUGGGCUUGGUGCCAAGCGCUGGUAUUUCACAGCAGCGACCGCCUCACAGACGAGCUGUGGGAAGCAGGAGGGAGACUCUCUCUUAGGGUGGAGACACAGCUGGGCUGAACAAGAUUUGCUUCAAACGACAACAAGAGAGACAGAAAGUAUCUGGUUCAACCGCUGCCCAAGCAGGCAGGCACCAGAAGAGCUAGCAGCCAAUCCGGCCAUGCUCGAAGCCAGCUCUGCAGCUCAGCCAAUCAGUGACAUCACUGCAGUUUUAUUUGGAAUGCCCCUGGUGAUAUAAAGAUGGGAAAGAACAAUACCCACCCAGUGCUUCCCUUGAAGAAAUUCCAAUAUUCUGGAAAUCAGAUAUAAUUAAGGAUUCUGAGAUGAGGAGAUUAUCUUGGAUUUUCAAAGUAGGCCCUAAAUGCCACCACAGGCAUUAGUGUAAGAGAGGCAAAGGAAGGAGAUUUGAUACACAUAGAGGAGAAGGCGAUACAAAGAUGGAGGCUGAGAUAAGAGUGAUGUGGCUUCAAGCCAGAAAAUGCUGGAAAAUACAGGAGCCACCAGAAACUAGAAGAAGCAAGGAACAGAUUCUUUUUGCAGAGCCUCCAGAGAAAACAUGGCCCUGCCCAAAAACUUUAUUCCAUCCCAGUGAAAUUGAUGUUGAAAUCCUGGCCUCCAAAACUGUAAGUAACUUAAUUUCUGUUGUUUUAAGCCCCCAAGUUUUUAGGAACUUGUUCAAACAGUCACAGGAAACAAACAUAGUUUGUAUUAGAGUUUCUUUUUCUCCUUUAUGCUUUAUGAUAAUUUUUAAAAGGAUAAAGAAAGAGAUAUUUAUUUCACCUUCUUAAAAUUGGAAUCAUUUAAAUCUUUGAUUUAGGAUAGUUUCAUUUCUCAUAAUUUCAUACCUUCCAUAAUGAGGAUGCUCACUUUCAGAAGUAUUGCAGCUUUCCCAGAUAUGGAAUUUUAACACUGUCUUCAUUUAUUUUUCUCCCCUUCUUACUAUAUAGUAUCUCUUCUUAAACAGAUCUUACUUACUUUGCUUUCUUCCCUUUCCCCUCUUUUUCUUUUCUUUCUUUUUCCAACAACCUAUUGAUUAUUUACUUAACGUUAGGCAUCGUGGUAAGCUUUGAGAAUAUAGAACCAAUAAAGCUGUUUCUACUGCCUUCCAAGAGCUUACUAAGGAGCUUCCAAGAGCUCCUUCUAUUGAUAUAGAAAAGGAAUAAAAAUAACAUUUGUUUGGCACAAAACAUAAAAACAAAAACAGAAAGAAAAAUCAACAACUGAAAUACCAUACUGUAGGUGUUAAAUUAAAUGCAUGAGCAAAAUGCUGUGGUCUCAUGGACCUGAAAUGAAUAGUUCUACUUGACAGAAACUGAAGGGAUCUAUGAAGUAGCACCUGAGCAGGGUCUUAGGGGAUGAAGUGAGAUUUUAUGAAGAACUAAACAGGGAAAAGGCAUCUGAUAGAAAGAAACCGCCUCUACAGAGGGCAUACAUAUGUUAAAGAGCAUGGAUUGCUUUGGCAUUUGCCAAUAGGCUUGGAGCAUAGAUUAAAGGUGGGGGAGGAUGGAGUCAUGAGACUGACUACAAAGGUUGGAGUCAAAUUAUGAUGAACACUUUUUUGCUUGUGUUCAGGAGUUUAGAUUUGUUUGAUUGACGUAUUCAUAUAAUUUCACUCAUUUGUGGAAUUUAAGAAACAAAACAAAUAAACAAAGAAAAAAAGAGACAAAAAUGAAAUGAACUCUGAAAUGAACUGUUGGUUGUCAUAUGGGUGGGGGGGGGGGGGAGAUGGGAGAAAUAGAUGAAGGAGACUAAGAAGUACAAAUCUCCAGUUGCAAAGUAAAUAAGUCAUGGAGGUGAAAAGUACAGCAGAGGGUAUAUAGUCAAUAAGACUGUCAUAACAUUGGUGGCAGAUGGGAACGGCAUUUUUCAUGGUGAGCACAGUGUAAUGUAUAGAAUUGUUGAAUUAUUACAUUGUACACUUGAAACUAACACUGUGUAUGAAAAUAUGUGAGAUACACACAC
Herpailurus yagouaroundi (jaguarundi) is the source of this 2026-nucleotide long non-coding RNA. RefSeq lists it as uncharacterized. The transcript is spliced from 3 exons. NCBI's taxonomy places the organism in Eukaryota, Metazoa, Chordata, Mammalia, Carnivora, Felidae. The record is from RefSeq and is a predicted model, not a curated record.